CUCAACUGUUAGGCUUCUGGGGGAUACUGUCAAACUUGGAACCGGGAGAGGUAAGAGGUACUUCGGGGGUAGGAGUGAAAUCUUGUAAUCCUUGUGGGACCACCAGUGGCGAAGGCGUCUUACCAGAACGGGUUCGACGGUGAGGGACGAAAGCUGGGGGCACGAACCGGAUUAGAUACCCGGGUAGUCCCAGCCGUAAACGAUGCUCGCUAGGUGUCUGGGAUGGUGCGACCGUUUCAGGUGCCGCAGGAAGCCGUGAAGC
RNAcentral lists this ribosomal RNA (262 nucleotides) under uncultured methanogenic archaeon. RNAcentral's name for it is "partial 16S ribosomal RNA". It matches the Rfam family "Archaeal small subunit ribosomal RNA", at positions 558 to 820 of the family's 1478-position model. The record is from RNAcentral. Lineage: Archaea; Methanobacteriati; Methanobacteriota.